Molecule: long non-coding RNA, 504 nt
Filed under: Callithrix jacchus (white-tufted-ear marmoset)
Lineage: Eukaryota; Metazoa; Chordata; Mammalia; Primates; Cebidae
Description: lncRNA (ENSCJAG00000084630.1)
Source: RNAcentral
UCAAGUACACAACACAUCAUCGUUAGCUAUAGUCACUGUGUUUAGUUAUUAUUCAUCCAGCACAACUAAAAGUUUGUAUCCUUGCUAACAUGUCUCUAUCUCUCUCUUUCCUUCCCUAGCUCCCCUCAAGCCCCUUGUCAGUUUCUGGCCACCACUCUCCUAUCCUCUGCUGCUGGGAGUUUGAUGAUUUUAGAUUCCACUUACAAGCUAUGAUGAGUAGAAAGAGCCUUAAAUGCCUACUCUGGCCAUUGUUGUCCCCUGAUCCUGAAAAUGCUGACUCCUUCCUGUGGGGUCACAGCACUGCUCAUCACCAUGUCAAGAUACUGGCAAAGCUUCUGUGGGAUGCCUGCUCCAACCACUAGAGGACAGUCCUCAGUGAGGAAGAAAGAAAUUCUGCCGAUGCCCCAGGGCAAUGAAUUCAUGCAACUGACCAAGUCUACAAUGAGGAUGACAAAAAAAACCCAGGAGGACUCAAGAUGGCGCUGUGAGAACAACCCAGGAUUG